RNAcentral lists this long non-coding RNA (924 nucleotides) under Felis catus (domestic cat). RNAcentral describes it as "lncRNA (ENSFCAG00000044939.2)". The record is from RNAcentral. Lineage: Eukaryota; Metazoa; Chordata; Mammalia; Carnivora; Felidae.
UAUAUAUUAACUCUUUCAAUUUACAAGAAUUUUCUUGACCACUCAAUAUAGCAGCAUACAUUUUUUAUACUUUAACUGUGAUUAAGCAGAGAAGCCUGAAGUACUUUUCUAUAAUUAACUGCUCAACUGUGUUAGAGAAUGAAAACAGCUUUCAGAAGUAGAUCUGACAUUCACCAACAGCCGGGAGAGGACAGAGCUGAUGUCUUUUCUACCUAUGAACGAACAGUUUUGUCCUUCAGAGCUGGUGACCUUGGUUUCUUUCUGAAAGAUACCUGAACUCUAGCCAAUGCUGCUUUAGGAUUUGAUGGACCACCUGACCCAUCUCAAAGGAGAAAGAAGAAUAAAGUUUUUCAAAGGUCACAUCUCAGCCAUUUACAAUUUUUUGUUACGUUUCUGUCAUGGCUGAAGAUUGUAUUCAGACAAUUGCAACAAAAACAGCCAAAGUCAAAAUGAACCAACGAACACAACAGAAAUGGAGAAAGAAGGGGAAAAAAAAAAAGAGCUUCUGUCUAGGGUUCAAAUGCUUCCACUCACCCAAAGGGACAAGCUGGAGGGCAUGGAGACCUGAGUACCAGGAGGAGGGGCAGUAAUGCUUUGAGAUGAACAGUGACCUUGGUUGAGGGACACAGCGGCCCGAGGUGCCCCCGGUGUGAGAAUGCAGGUUUGGGGGGCACGAUACAACCUGAGAUCUCGCUCUCCUUUUCCUUCUGCUCUCCUGGUAGUGAUCCCCUUUGGCUGGACCCCACUAGACAUCAUCAGAUGAUGAAUUUCACACAGGCUGGCCUCCCAGUUAGAGAUCAAGGCCCAGAAGGUAGAACACGGACUUUGGAGAGAGACAGAAGAUACCUCAUACGGCAAGGCUACAUGAAGCUCUUACCGUAGACACAGCUCAGAGGUGUGAAAGAACGCAGGCCUCGUAAAACG